Molecule: ribosomal RNA, 232 nt
Filed under: uncultured Enterobacterales bacterium
Lineage: Bacteria; Pseudomonadati; Pseudomonadota; Gammaproteobacteria; Enterobacterales
Description: partial 16S ribosomal RNA
Rfam family: Bacterial small subunit ribosomal RNA
Source: RNAcentral
CGGACGGGUGAGUAAUGUCUGGGAAACUGCCUGAUGGAGGGGGAUAACUACUGGAAACGGUAGCUAAUACCGCAUAACGUCGCAAGACCAAAGAGGGGGACCUUCGGGCCUCUUGCCAUCGGAUGUGCCCAGAUGGGAUUAGCUAGUAGGUGGGGUAACGGCUCACCUAGGCGACGAUCCCUAGCUGGUCUGAGAGGAUGACCAGUCACACUUGAACUGAGACACGGUCCAG